AUGGCGGCCCGACCGCCGCCCCCGUGCUUCUUCUCCUUCCUCAAGCACGGCGCCCUCCUCCCGGCGCGCCACGGCGGGCUCUUCCUGCCGCUGCUCGCGCUCACCGCGGCCCUCGCCGCGGCGCUCCUCCUCACCAACUCCCUCGCCGUGCAGCCCCUCGCCGCCGCCGCGCUGGUCGACGCCAGCGCCAUCAGCCGCGCCGACCCGGCCGGCGCCGCGUACCCGGGCCUCGUCAGGGCGCUCAGGGGAGACCUCAGGCGGCUCCUGCUCGAGGUUGGCGCGUGCGUCCUCGCCGCGGUCGUCGUCGGGUCCGCCAUCAAGAUAGCCACCGUCUUCGCCGCCGUCAGGGCGUUCUCCUCCGGCACCGAUGACGACGACGCCACCGAGCGGCUGACCGUGUCCGCCGUCCUGGGCGGCGCGAGGGGCAACCUGUGGGGGCCCGUCGCGACCGUGGCCUUCGGGUACGUCCUCGAGGUGGCCUGCGCGGGCGCCAUCGUCGCGCUGGCGCUGGCCACGGUCUACCUCCUGGAGCGCUCGCUGCUGCUCCUCUUCCUCGACGUCCUGCUCGUGCUCCUCGCGUCGCUCUUCCUCGUCUACCUCACCGUGGUCUGCGCGGUGGCGGUCGUGGUCUCGGUGGCGGAGCCGGGGCGGCACGGCGCGGCGGCGGUGUCCCGCGCGUGGCGGCUGAUGGAGGGGAGGAGCGCGCGGGCGGCGCUCUACGUGGUCGCGACGUGCGCGCUCGGCGCCGCGGUGUCGCCGGUGUACACGCUGGCGCUGAGGCUUUGGCCGCGGAGCCCGUGCGCCGGGGUGGCCGCCGGCGCCGCCUACGUGGCCCUGCUCGGCGCCGUGGAGUUGUUCUCCGUCGAGGCCGUCACGGCGUACUACUUCGAGUGCAGGGACAGCAAGGAGGAGGAGGAGGUGGCGGCAGCCCACAGACACAGAUACGCCAAGCUGCCCAAUGGAGAUACGUGA
Molecule: ribosomal RNA, 972 nt
Filed under: Triticum aestivum (bread wheat)
Lineage: Eukaryota; Viridiplantae; Streptophyta; Magnoliopsida; Poales; Poaceae
Description: partial small subunit ribosomal RNA
Source: RNAcentral